Molecule: long non-coding RNA, 1128 nt
Organism: Cottoperca gobio
Lineage: Eukaryota; Metazoa; Chordata; Actinopteri; Perciformes; Bovichtidae
Exons: 5
Source: RefSeq, a predicted model, not a curated record
CAUGGCCACAGGUUGUCACAGCCAGUUUUCUGUCAGCACUGGCAGAAAGGAAGCAGGAGUUGCAGCAGAUCCAGUAAGACAUUUGAAGACCUGCAAGAAGAUGAGGUCUCACCAGCCGCUGUCCAGCAAAGACAGAAAACCUUGUUGAGUUGGUUUGGAAACAAAGGUAGUGCUGACCAGAGGCGUGAGCUGUGAAGUGACGCCGAGGUGAGCGGAUUGGGAGGGCGCCUUCAAAUCCCACGGCUCCAACAAGAAAUUACCUGGAGGACUCACCGGUGACCAGCAGGUCUUCAGGAAUCUCCUCGAUGAUGCACUUUUCCUCCUGCUCUCCGAGAUCAAAAUACAUGGCUGCUGCCAACAUUAGAUCUGCAAAUUCUAACUGAAGAUUGAGGUAUUUUUAAUGGAUUUAUAGCCGAACACUCGUGUCCUAGAGCAUAUAUUGAAAGUGGAAGGCUGUCAGCGGGACAGUUGGAGAGUGAGAAACUCACAGGUGCUGCUUUGUGUGACGAGACAUUCUGGUUGUUUUGUGACUGGUUAAACUGGGAGCCAAUAGCAAAGCUGCACAGAAUAAUGAUUUACUGGGACAGACCCCUUCCUACAGACACAGAUAAUCCAACAGUAAACAUUAUUGUCCCCAGUGGAAAUGUGUGUUGGGCCCAGUGCUACAGUCUGUUGCUUUACAUCAACAUGAAAACAUCUAAAAACAAAUGAGUAGCAUGAGUAAAAUACUUGUGUAUUUAUUGCACUAAGAUUUAACUUUAGGGUUCAGUAGCUUGAUGGAGGUCGGAACAAACGACAGCUCAAAGCGGUUUGAUUUGCACAAAGUCUUCUUCCUGAAAGCAGUGUGAUCAUACUAUAUCAACAUGAACGUACGAGCAGCUUUGUGCCAUACAGAAAAUAUCUACCAAUUAGUGUAAUAAUGUAAGAACUUCCAGACAUCUGAUUGAAACAUAUUCAUGUUAAUAUUGCAGGAUUGUAUUUCACACGGCAGUAGACUGUUUCUGAUGUAGGGCCAAGUGCCUGCUUUGCAUUCAGCGCACUAAAUUGAAAGUGAUGGAUGCUAAACUGCCCUCAGGGAUAAAUCACUAGCUACAACAAGAUGUAAGAAAAGAGGGUAACAUCCACGAA